This 68-nucleotide transfer RNA is filed under the name Cicadellidae gen. sp. 1 JCX-2018. Its description in RNAcentral is "tRNA-Ile". Lineage: Eukaryota; Metazoa; Arthropoda; Insecta; Hemiptera; Cicadellidae. The record is from RNAcentral.
AGUUUAGUGCCUGAUUAUAGGAUUAUUUUGAUAGAAUAAUAAAGUAAAAAUAAAAUUUACCUUAACUG